CUGAAACAAAAUGAAGGGUCGGGGAGGGAGGGAGGCCGAUCACGUGACCUCUGCCUCGUCGUCUGAUUGGUUUACGAUUACGUCACACGGUUCGGGCGCCUGGAAUGCCUCUCAGCUGCUGGAAGUUUCAACCCAAUGGAAGAACAGCUACAAUGAACAAGUCUUCACUAUCUUCUUUCAGCUGGCAGUAACAGCUUUUUAUGUCUUCCAAUCUCCCGUGGUUUCAGCAAUAUAACAGAUAUACUCUUCAGUCCUCCUGUGCAACUUCAAAAAUGUUUUAUUUCUAAUUAUUCUUAUUUUGGAUUAAAGAUCACCAGCCUGAAACACAGUUUGUCUAACCAGAUGCUGCCUGACCUGCUGAACACAAUGAAAUUUUAGUUUUUAUUAAAAUGCUUUAUAUCCCUUCGUACAUGAGCUGUCACUAAAUAACAGCUAUUUCAACCUGUGUCUGUAGAGUUCAUCUACCUCCCGAGAAUUUAACUUCAUAUUUUAAUACAAUACUGAGGAAGUGCUGCACCAUGUAAUUGCCCAGUGUUCAUAGAAGAUGAUAAACCAAGAUUCUGAGAACCCUCUCCCAAGUACUGUGGGAGACGCUUAUUACAAUUAAAAGCAUUAAAAAUAGUUCAUUCAACCAUUAGCCUCAGUAUAAUUUGUGGGAACUUCGUUCAGCAUUUUCUAUGUUGUACUCGAACCAGGUACUUAAU
Long non-coding RNA from Leucoraja erinaceus (little skate), 704 nucleotides. RefSeq lists it as uncharacterized. The record is from RefSeq and is a predicted model, not a curated record. The transcript is spliced from 2 exons. Lineage: Eukaryota; Metazoa; Chordata; Chondrichthyes; Rajiformes; Rajidae.